AUCAAGGCUUUGUUAGAACCAUAAUUGAAUACUAAUGACAAUAACAAUUGUUGAGAAAGCAAUAUAUUUGGUGCUGGAGGAAAUGCAUACCAUGAAGGGCUAGAGAGCAGUUGAGAUUUUAUUUCGGGAUGUGAACAUAAGUAAACACUGUAAAGGCAUAAAAAUUUUCCAAUCUAUUUGUUUUAGUUUCUUGUUGUUCAAGCCCAAGG
RNAcentral lists this unclassified non-coding RNA (209 nucleotides) under Hevea brasiliensis (rubber tree). Lineage: Eukaryota; Viridiplantae; Streptophyta; Magnoliopsida; Malpighiales; Euphorbiaceae. The record is from RNAcentral.